Molecule: long non-coding RNA, 654 nt
Organism: Lagopus leucura (white-tailed ptarmigan)
Lineage: Eukaryota; Metazoa; Chordata; Aves; Galliformes; Phasianidae
Exons: 4
Source: RefSeq, a predicted model, not a curated record
UAGAGAUCCAUGCCUGGCUAAGGUCCUUCUAGGCCUUUCAGAGGUGCCAAGUGUCUUGCUGAUUCACUUCUGCUAAAACCUGGUCUGCUGAACAUGAACUUGAAAAGAGUAAUCAGUUUUGCAGUUGUUGAUUGUGCAUCUACUCAUUUCCUCUAUUUUAAGAGUGCUGUGAAAGCUGUAAUGCAUCAGCUGUGAAUGAACCUUGAUGGAGCCAGAAGGCAAAGGACUGAAAGGGCUCUUAUUUGAAAGUAACAUGAAGCCAGGUCUUCAGGGCCACUGACAGGCGAAGCACCGCAUUUGGUGAAGGCACCAAAUUCUCUUCUCUUCUGAGUUCUUGCAUGUUCUUGAGCAAGCUGUCUGCCUGCUGCCGUUUUACUGACCUGCAGUGUAGGUCUCACAUGUACUUUUUACAUGCAGUUUCCAGUAAUAGUAAACAUAGAUAUGCGAAGACAUUGAAUAUUUUUCUCUAUGCAAAAUAGCUGGAACUUCUUAAUUUGCAAAGUAUUUUGUUCUUUACUGCUUGUAUGUGCAUUUUGGUGUUGAAGAAUUAAGAUGUACUGUAGAGUUCCUGAGGAAUGCUUGUAAUUAACAGUUUGACUUUAAAUCACAGCGUGCUGGGCAUAAUUAGCAUUCAAUGUUUCUGUAUGAUUAAAA